GAAUUCGCCCUUAGAGUUUGAUCCUGGCUCAGGACGAACGCUGGCGGCGCGCCUAACACAUGCAAGUCGAACGAGCGAGAGAGAGCUUGCUUUCUCGAGCGAGUGGCGAACGGGUGAGUAACGCGUGAGGAACCUGCCUCAAAGAGGGGGACAACAGUUGGAAACGACUGCUAAUACCGCAUAAGCCCACGGCUCGGCAUCGAGCAGAGGGAAAAGGAGCAAUCCGCUUUGAGAUGGCCUCGCGUCCGAUUAGCUAGUUGGUGAGGUAAUGGCCCACCAAGGCGACGAUCGGUAGCCGGACUGAGAGGUUGAACGGCCACAUUGGGACUGAGACACGGCCCAGACUCCUACGGGAGGCAGCAGUGGGGAAUAUUGCACAAUGGGGGAAACCCUGAUGCAGCGACGCCGCGUGGAGGAAGAAGGUCUUCGGAUUGUAAACUCCUGUUGUUGAGGAAGAUAAUGACGGUACUCAACAAGGAAGUGACGGCUAACUACGUGCCAGCAGCCGCGGUAAAACGUAGGUCACAAGCGUUGUCCGGAAUUACUGGGUGUAAAGGGAGCGCAGGCGGGAAGACAAGUUGGAAGUGAAAUCCAUGGGCUCAACCCAUGAACUGCUUUCAAAACUGUUUUUCUUGAGUAGUGCAGAGGUAGGCGGAAUUCCCGGUGUAGCGGUGGAAUGCGUAGAUAUCGGGAGGAACACCAGUGGCGAAGGCGGCCUACUGGGCACCAACUGACGCUGAGGCUCGAAAGUGUGGGUAGCAAACAGGAUUAGAUACCCUGGUAGUCCACACUGUAAACGAUGAUUACUAGGUGUUGGAGGAUUGACCCCUUCAGUGCCGCAGUUAACACAAUAAGUAAUCCACCUGGGGAGUACGACCGCAAGGUUGAAACUCAAAGGAAUUGACGGGGGCCCGCACAAGCAGUGGAGUAUGUGGUUUAAUUCGACGCAACGCGAAGAACCUUACCAAGUCUUGACAUCCUGCGACGGUUCUGGAAACAGAACUUUCCUUCGGGACGCAGAGACAGGUGGUGCAUGGUUGUCGUCAGCUCGUGUCGUGAGAUGUUGGGUUAAGUCCCGCAACGAGCGCAACCCUUAUGGUCAGUUACUACGCAAGAGGACUCUGGCCAGACUGCCGUUGACAAAACGGAGGAAGGUGGGGAUGACGUCAAAUCAUCAUGCCCUUUAUGACUUGGGCUACACACGUACUACAAUGGCGUUAAACAAAGAGAAGCAAGACCGCGAGGUGGAGCAAAACUCAGAAACAACGUCCCAGUUCGGACUGCAGGCUGCAACUCGCCUGCACGAAGUCGGAAUUGCUAGUAAUCGCAGAUCAGCAUGCUGCGGUGAAUACGUUCCCGGGCCUUGCACUCACCGCCCGUCA
This 1382-nucleotide ribosomal RNA is filed under the name uncultured bacterium. RNAcentral's name for it is "bacterial SSU rRNA". It matches the Rfam family "Bacterial small subunit ribosomal RNA". The record is from RNAcentral.